Molecule: ribosomal RNA, 384 nt
Filed under: Escherichia coli
Lineage: Bacteria; Pseudomonadati; Pseudomonadota; Gammaproteobacteria; Enterobacterales; Enterobacteriaceae
Description: bacterial SSU rRNA
Rfam family: Bacterial small subunit ribosomal RNA
Source: RNAcentral
AAAUUGAAGAGUUUGAUCAUGGCUCAGAUUGAACGCUGGCGGCAGGCCUAACACAUGCAAGUCGAACGGUAACAGGAAGCAGCUUGCUGCUUCGCUGACGAGUGGCGGACGGGUGAGUAAUGUCUGGGAAACUGCCUGAUGGAGGGGGGUAACUACUGGAAACGGUAGCUAAUACCGCAUAACGUCGCAAGACCAAAGAGGGGGACCUUCGGGCCUCUUGCCAUCGGAUGUGCCCAGAUGGGAUUAGCUAGUAGGUGGGGUAACGGCUCACCUAGGCGACGAUCCCUAGCUGGUCUGAGAGGAUGACCAGCCACACUGGAACUGAGACACGGUCCAGACUCCUACGGGAGGCAGCAGUGGGGAAUAUUGCACAAUGGGCGCAAG